This is a non-coding RNA of Podarcis muralis (Common wall lizard), 2930 nucleotides long. Lineage: Eukaryota; Metazoa; Chordata; Lepidosauria; Squamata; Lacertidae. The record is from RefSeq and is a predicted model, not a curated record.
AGCGAAGGUGUUCGAAGACGUCGCGAGCGCCCUUCCGUCGCCGCUCUCUCCGCUCCGCGGCGUUCCUCUUCAUAGUAGUGGCUCCGGUCCCACUCUGCGCAUGCGCCGCAGCCGAGUUUAAGCGCGACUAACCGCCUGGAAUUGGCUUGGUAUUGCAUAGCGCCAGGCCAGGGUUGAGAACUCGACGUGAUCCAGGGUGCUUCCUGGAGAGUGAAACCUUAUUUCGGAAUUAAAUGGCAAGGCAUGGGACACAUCUUUCCAUGAGUAUACAUCACCUGUUCUGGGCUAUUCGCACUCCUUUGUCAAGUCCAAGACAUCUGGUAUCAUAAAGCAAAAACACAGAAACAGUCCUAUUCACAGAAAUUCACAGAACAGCAAAAUCCAUAGCACUUAUAAUGUGUUCCUUAAAAUUCCAGUUUAUGUUUGCAUUUUUGACUAACAGUCUUGUGAGAGAUUGUGGUAUAUUCCCCUAAUUUCUGUAUAUGAUUGGCUGCACAUAUUUGUUCUAAAGGUUUUUUUUUUUCCCUGAAUAUUAUGUUUUAUGCCUUUUAUGAUGCUAUUGUCUUUUAGUUGUAGAUUUCUCUGUGAUUUUACUAAUAUCUUCACUGUUUUUAUUAUUCUGUAUUGCUUUCAGGGGUUGUUGGUUUUUUUUGGGGGGGGGUUGUUUUGCUAGCUGCCUUGAAUAUUUAUUACAAAGGCCUGGCCAACUACAUUGCCAAGUCAGGAUAUAAAAGGUAAUAAGUACGUAGCUGUUGCCAGUUAACUAUGGUACACAAUACCUACUUAUUUCCAGGCUGAACUGGCAAUAACUAGGUCCUUUUUAUCCUUUCUGCCAAAAGCAACAACAAAAUGGUUGAAGAUUCAGCCUUCCUUCUGGGACAGCAGCCAAAUCAAGUGUUCAGCAUAAAUAAAUACAAUACAAUGCAUAUUGGGGCAAAAAAGAAUCCCAGCUUCACAGUGAUAAAAUCUGAACUGGCUGUUAACUAAAUAGGAAGCUAACUUGGGAUCACUGUGGGCAGUUCAAUGAAAUGGUCAACUCAGUGCACAGCAGUAGUCACACAGUAUUUAUUAGAAAAGGGAUGGAGUAAAACAAGCAGUAUCACAUUAUUGGUGUGGAAUAGUGUGUACAGUUCUAGUCAUUCCAUUUCAAAGAGAGAUAUUACAGUGAGAUAUGAAAAUAAGGGGUUGGAGCACCUUAUGUAGUCACCUUUAGCUCAGAAAAGGGACAGUUAAGGUGGGGGAGAUAUGAUAACAGUUUUUUUUAAUUAUGCAUGGUGUUGGAGAAGUAGAUGGAGGUAUUUUUUUCUGUGAUAGAACUUGGGGACAUAUAAUUGACUUGAUAUCAAUUAAGGACAGACAAAAUAACUUAUUCACACGAUGCGUAGUUCAGUGCCCUAAGAUAUGGUAAGGGUCACUGGGAUUAGACAAAUUCAUGGAGGAUCAGUCAAUUGAGUACUCUUAGCCAUGAUGACUAAAUGGAAUCUCCAGGUUCAGAGAAACUGUAACCAUAGCUCAAUGUUAGUGGCUCAAGGUGAGGAAUGGAGAAAGGCUAUUCCCUUUAUACCCUAAAUGUUGGCUUCUGGGAACCACCUGGCUAGCUGCUGUUGGAAAGAGAAUCCUGGCUGAGAUGGACCUUUGUUCUGAUCCAGCAGGUCUGCACUUACAUUCAAAUGGCACUGCAUUAAGGUUUAAUGGGGCUUACUCCCAAGUAAAUGCGCAUAGCCUGAACAUGACCCUUCUUUCUUGUUGCCAGUUUGCAACAAGACGUUUUUGAUAUUUUUGCAUAUAAUUUAAUUUAUAUGAUAUAUCAGAGGGACCAAUAUGACCUAGUAAACCAAACGUAUUGAAUACUCUCUUCUGGCAGCACAGACAUAAAUUACAUUAAUUGGGUUUAAUUUCGUUCAGUUUCCACAGAGAAAAUUGUAGUUUUCAAAAUAUAAUACCCAUAUGAAGUACUUUGAAGUUCAUUCUGGGAAGAAAGCCAAAAGAUCAGCUUAGCUAGCAGUAAAGGAAAUUUUCUUUUCCAGUGAAAAAACAUCCCUCUGAAAAGGCAAUAUAGGCCUUUAAUAGUACCAAAAAUGCAAUUCUAAAAUGGACUUUUAAGAAACAGGGCAAUAACAGAGCCCGACAAGAAAAUAACAAAGGUUCUAAAUGACAACCUAACUUUAUUUUAAAGCCUAAAAAAUUAAUAGGCGAAAAUUGGAAUGCGACUUUCAGUAUCCUUCUGUGCAUAUCACACACAAUAUAAGAUCAGACUAAAGAUUAGACUAUCAUUACUUUACUGUUGUCUUCAAUUUCCCUAAGCGUUCAUUUAAAGGUUGAUGCUGCAAGUCUUCAAAGAACUGGAUCACACUGAAACCUCUGCAAAAGACUGGCCUUACACCCAGCAGAUUGGAUCUCCUGAAAGUUUUCCUUAAAUAGACAGUGUGCCUGGGCACUUCUCUGCACAGCCUCUACCAUGCCGUCUCAGGCACAUCUGGUUGAUUUGCCUGCUGACCCUCAGAGACAUGGUAUCCCCCUAGAACUGAGCAGGAGUCCUAGCUCCACCUCCUUGAUAAUUGGUAGGGAUUCAUUAGUGGCAGAGUCAGGUAUCUAAGGUUCAAUUAAGCCCUUCUUUGAUCAGUGCUAGAAGGUAUGGCAGAGCCAAGGAACCCUUUCGAGGCCCUCCUCCUGUCAAUAAGAUCCUAUUUCCCCAAACCCAUUGAUAUUGCUGAGGAUUCCUCAGUCAUAAAGAACACUCGGGUUUUGGUCCAGGAUAUUAGUUUAGAUUAGGAGUAGCAAAUGUGUUCCCCUGCAGAAGGUUUUGGGCUAGAGCUCCCUUCAUUCCUCACCAUGCUUGCUGAUGGGAGCUGAAGUGUGACGACAUCUGGAGGGCACCAGGUUGGCAACCCUGCUCUGGAGGAUGGGGCUAAUAAAAUGUGCAUGGAUUU